AAAUAAUUUGUCGAUUUAACUCGUAUAAUAUUGGGGAUAUGGCCCAAAAGUUUCUACCGAGCCACCGUAAAUGGCUUGACUACGAGGCAGUGAUAAUCGGAG
This 102-nucleotide non-coding RNA is filed under the name Neobacillus niacini. RNAcentral describes it as "Bacillus niacini Guanine sequence". It matches the Rfam family "Purine riboswitch aptamer". From Rfam's summary of the family: Riboswitches are metabolite binding domains within certain messenger RNAs that serve as precision sensors for their corresponding targets. Allosteric rearrangement of mRNA structure is mediated by ligand binding, and this results in modulation of gene expression. The record is from RNAcentral. Lineage: Bacteria; Bacillati; Bacillota; Bacilli; Caryophanales; Bacillaceae.